Molecule: ribosomal RNA, 431 nt
Filed under: uncultured bacterium
Lineage: Bacteria
Description: bacterial SSU rRNA
Rfam family: Bacterial small subunit ribosomal RNA
Source: RNAcentral
GAGUUUGAUCCUGGCUCAGAUUGAACGCUGGCGGCAGGCCUAACACAUGCAAGUCGAGCGGUAGAGAGAAGCUUGCUUCUCUUGAGAGCGGCGGACGGGUGAGUAAUGCCUAGGAAUCUGCCUGGUAGUGGGGGAUAACGCUCGGAAACGGACGCUAAUACCGCAUACGUCCUACGGGAGAAAGCAGGGGACCUUCGGGCCUUGCGCUAUCAGAUGAGCCUAGGUCGGAUUAGCUAGUUGGUGAGGUAAUGGCUCACCAAGGCGACGAUCCGUAACUGGUCUGAGAGGAUGAUCAGUCACACUGGAACUGAGACACGGUCCAGACUCCUACGGGAGCAGCAGUGGGGAAUAUUGGACAAUGGGCGAAAGCCUGAUCCAGCCAUGCCGCGUGUGUGAAGAAGGUCUUCGGAUUGUAAAGCACUUUAGGUGGA